RNAcentral lists this ribosomal RNA (293 nucleotides) under uncultured bacterium. RNAcentral describes it as "partial 16S ribosomal RNA". It matches the Rfam family "Bacterial small subunit ribosomal RNA", at positions 775 to 1067 of the family's 1533-position model. The record is from RNAcentral.
GGAUUAGAUACCCUGGUAGUCCACACCGUAAACGCUGUCUACUAGCUGUGUGUGUCUUUAAGACGUGCGUAGCGAAGCUAACGCGCUAAGUAGACCGCCUGGGGAGUACGGCCGCAAGGUUAAAACUCAAAUGAAUUGACGGGGGCCCGCACAAGCGGUGGAGCAUGUGGUUUAAUUCGAUGCAACGCGAAGAACCUUACCUACACUUGACAUGCAGAGAACUUUCUAGAGAUAGAUUGGUGCCUUCGGGAACUCUGACACAGGUGCUGCAUGGCUGUCGUCAGCUCGUGCCG